Molecule: long non-coding RNA, 3531 nt
Filed under: Sus scrofa (pig)
Lineage: Eukaryota; Metazoa; Chordata; Mammalia; Artiodactyla; Suidae
Description: lncRNA (ENSSSCG00035038242.1)
Source: RNAcentral
AUGGGUGUGGAAUCUGGCCAGGGAAGAGGCAGCUUGGUCCAGCCCCCUGUGGGAGGCCAGUGGCAGGGCACUUGGAAGGUUGCAGAGGCUACAAACAGUGCUUAUCUCCUAAGGCCCAGAGAGGCAGCCACUAGCCUCCGGUCACACCACCAGCGUCCUGAGGCUCCGAGCCUGCUCGCCCCGCCACCUCUUUCCUCGCCCGUCCUCGCCUGCUCCCAGAUGGUCUCCAGAGGAGAGUCUGGACCUCAGAAUUUACUGGACUUGGGGUUCCUCUGCCUCCUGCCCCACUUUGCCUCAACCUUCAGGGCCAGCUCUCGGGCUGCCCGCUCCAGGAAGCCUGCCAGGACUUGCUCCCCCCACCAGAACAGCUGUCACCUUCCUGCCCAGAGAGGGGAAGUGACCCAGCCAGGAUCACUCAGCAAGGGCACAGGCAGGAGCUCAACCUCCUGGAUCACGCUGCUCCUACAUCCCACACACCAGCCCCAGGCAGCCAGGCACGCUUCCAGAGAGGAACAGCACCAGACACUGUUUUGAGCAAUCCCCUGAAGAAGCAGAUGUGAUCCCUGAGACAGACCUCAAACAAGAGAACCAAAGAGAACAGGUUCUGAUGCCCAGGGAGGAGAGCAGUGGAUUUCCUGGGGCAGGCCUCUGGGGUGCCCAGCCAGCAGAGGGAGGCCGGACUGGGCCCUGCGUGCUCUCCUGGGCAUUCGCCAAGGCCUUGGUCCCCAGCCCAGCCUCCAGCCAGAGUCUGUCCCAGGGCUGUCACUAGGCAGCCUCCAGAGCCUCAGCCCGCCCUGGGGCGUCCCCUGCUCCCCGACGGAUAGAGUCAUCUGCCAAGGGGGAUCCCUGCCCCGGAGAAACUGGGAACUUGUGACACUUCCUGGGAGAGUUUUUAAAAAUCCUUAAAAACCACCCUCUCUCUUCCUGGCCCCAGGGCACCCUGGGGAACUGCCCAACCUCCUGGGGAGUCCCCAGCCCAGCCCACCUGAGUGAGUUUUUCAGAAAGAGAUGCGAUUUUCCCUGGCCAUCCCCGCUGCACACCCAGCUGAGCCCUCUCCUCAGAGCCCCGGGCCCUUCUGGGCCCGUUGUCCCCAUUCUCUGGAUAAGACCUCGAGGUGACCCGGGCAGACCCUGACUGCUGAGACGGGGCAGUCCCUCAGGGCCUGACAGUUGUCCCAGGCAGACUGGAGGCAUCCCAGCCUCACGCCCCACCAAGUUGUGGUCCCAGGGGGUCUCUGAGGUCCAUUCCUCACCCGGGCCCACAGUAGCCCACUGGGAGUGGCUGGUGGCCUGCCCGAGUCACCUGGAGGCCAAGGGAGCUGGCCCGGGACAGAGGCCUGAGAAGCUGGGUGACAGGUUGAACCAAGUGGGGUGGGGUCAGCCGCACUUCAAGUUCAGGCCAAGCGGGGUUCUGGAGGCUCCUGGGCCCAGCACCCCAAAGUGCUGGCAAACACACCCGCAUGAAUGGCACAGACAGGAGGCUGCGUGGACCCUACACCUUGGGCCUCUGUCUUGGGGCUGUGCGAAGGGGCAGGGAGCAUCUGGCUCCCAGGGGGCCGGGGGCAGUCAGUGACCUGGGCUCUCAAGUCUCAGGCCCAGGGCUGGGCGCCCAUGGCUGUGGUCGCCGUUGGGACCCAGCCCCUUCCUGGCUGGUGGCCUUGCUCCUGCACCUUCCCUGCCUGGGCUGGGGGCUCAGAAAUGCCCCGGGAGCUGGGGGCAGGGGCAGUGGAAGUGCUGGGGGCUGCCCCUCCUGGAGGAAGUGAAAGGGGAACGAGCAGGAGGGGAGGGAGGUGUUGGGAGCGUGCCGGCGGGUGGGGCCAGGGCUGACUCACAGCCACAGCUCACCCACCUCAGGGUGCAGCCCGGCCACCCCGUCCACAGGAGGACGAGGGGAGGACAGAGUCCCCGAGGGCCCACCGCGAGCGGAGCCAAGCCGAGCCUGUGUCACCACGCAGAAAGUUCACCCCGCCCCACCCCGGCCAGGCAGGAAUCUCCCCAUUUCUCAGACAAGCCAACUGAGACCAGUGAGAGCCAGAGACCCGGCCUAGCAGUUAAUAGCCUGCGAUUCUCAGAACGCACCAGAGCCUGGUGUGGGGUCAAGGCCCCUGGCCAGGCUCAAAGGGGCCGGCUGUGUCCCUGAGGCCCCAGCUGGGGAAACUGAGGCUCAGAGUGGCCAGUGGGCAGUGCAGAGCUGGGCUCCCUCCCUGGUGCCCAGGGCCCCACGUGGGGCCAGUCCUCAGCUGACGCCACUCCUCCAGCCUGGGGCCUGGGGCCCGGGCCCGGCCAAGUGGAAACCCGAUCGGCUCCCCCACGUAGCUGCGGAGCCAGGCCCUCCUGGGCCAGAAAUCUCAGCCGCCUGCUGGGCUGGCCAGAAACCUGAGCCUGCCCUGCAGCCAGAGCUUCAGUGCUGCCAGGGAUACAGAGGGGGGACCAAGCCCGGGCUGCACUGUCCGCUGGAGACACAGUCCUGACCCGGUGAGACUGGUUCUGUGCGAGCCCAGAGAAGCCCCAGCCACGGGCGUGGGUUUGGCAGGUCAGGCAGGGAAGGGGUUCCCUGGCACAAGGGCCGGUGGGGGGGACGGGGGCAGCAGGCAGGGCCCUCCCCCCUCCAUUUCCCAGGUCACUAGGGAAUGACUGGGGCUGUCACAUUCACUCACCUGGGCUGCUGAGACCCAUAGCCCUGGGGACACACAGAUGGACCUGAGGACACACGUGCCCACAGCUGGGACCAAGAACACAGGGUGGGGCUUGGUCCAGACCCAGGCAGGACUCAGCAGUGAAUGCCACUGCACACAGUGGGGCCACAUGCCAUGCCCUCUUAGCAAAGCCAGUGUGAAGGAGGCCCCCGAGCAGGCGGGGAGCCCCAGGAGAGAGCGUGCCAUCCACAAAGCAGGACUCGGUUCUUUCUCACCCCUGGAUGUCCUUGGAAAGUGACAAGGCAUCUCUGGGCCAACCGGGGUCAGCAAGACCCUGCGUGGAUGACGCCGUCUGGCUGGGCCUCCCGGGCCUUUGAGGGGCCUGUCACAGACAGCCUGGAAGCUGGCCAUCACCUGCCUACCUAUCAACAGGGAAGCCAAGGUCCAGAGAUGGGCAGAGCUUACCCAGCGCCACAGAGCACAUGCGGCAGGCUGGGGUCCCGGCCUGAGGGCUGGGGGUUGGCCUUUUGUGUGCAGCCAGGACAGCAAGGACAAGGCCAGGUUUUCCGCGGGGAGAGCCAGGCUGGUCCGUCCAGCACAGGACAGGCCCCCACUCCACUUAGCCAAGAGGCAUGAUGGCUCUAAAGCCUGACCUGGGGAGUUGCCAUGGUGGCUCAGCGGGUUAAGAACCAGACUAGUAUCCAGGAGGAUGUGGGUUCCAUCCCUGGCCUCGCUCAGUGGGAUAAAGGUCUGGCAUGGCUGUGAGCUGCAGCAUAGGUCGCAGACACGGCUGGGGUCUGGCAUGGCUGUGGCUGUGGCGUAGGCCGGCUGCUGCGGCUCUGAUUUGACCCCUAGCCUGGGAGCUUCCAUAUGCCAUGGGCGCGGCCCUAAAAAG